This 2297-nucleotide long non-coding RNA is filed under the name Triticum aestivum (bread wheat). RNAcentral's name for it is "long non-coding RNA (TAES_LNC013802)". Lineage: Eukaryota; Viridiplantae; Streptophyta; Magnoliopsida; Poales; Poaceae. The record is from RNAcentral.
ACACAACAGGGUUGAUUUAGAAUAGGAAGAUUCUGAACCAUCAGAAUGAUGUUAGAUUGUACAGUACAUGCUUGACAAAUGUGUAGUACAAGGGCUGCUAGCUAUUGGUGAGACUGAAACAUUGCUAACCAUAAACUCAGUGGCCGAAACUACACAAGUACAAGGUUCAUAUAGAUAAGUGAGGGAAAUCACAUCAUAUGGAAAUACUAUCUAAUCUGGCCGAUGCCCAGACAUAGUUACAAAUGAUGACAGAAUAAACCAACACCCUGCACUAGCCUAAACAGACCAACACCAACGAGAAAAUCUGGCAAUUUUUGUUUGUGUGAUUCUUCAAGACUUCAUCGAAAUACAUCUCAUCUUCGACAAGUCUAAUUCUAAGCUUUGCAUGGUGGGUUCUCAGCAGAGCAUAUGAUAUUAUCCAACCAGGAUAAUUCACAACGCAAUAGAAAGGUUGCAGGGCUUCAAUAUGCAGUGACUGAUGGAGAUAUGCCGAAUGAAGUAGUCUGUCUGAACUCUGAACUCUGAACUAAUCCAGAUUUUCCUAGUUCCCAUCAAGUAAAUCCUAAACCACAGCAUGACGAGAAUCGAUUAGCAUCCUGAAAACUAAAUUCAGCUGGGCAACUAAUAGUUCUUCCAAUAAAAAACACCUUUCUCUUGAGAUGAAAUUGCUCCUGCAUUACUCAAAACAGAAUUUUCAGUGAGAUAUUAGUUGUUAUCAACUUAUUACUUGAGCGAUGUGAAAAAUUAUUUUAAAACAACCCACUGAUACCUGAGGAAUUAUGAAAGCUCACAAUAAAGAACAAUGAUGUAUAGUAACCUCGCAGUUUGUAACAUUUUACUUAUGAAUUUGAGCUAUGAAAUUGGUUGUCUGACACUGGCAGGCUCUGUAAUUCCUUUUACAACUUAGCAACCUAAGGAUCGACUUUCAGUUGGUACACUGCUAAUCUAUUAGUGAUCACUCAGAAUAUUAUGGACGUAAUUAACUGGAAUUUUUAGAGAACUGAUAUCAGUUUACGGGUCAUGCAGAAUCUAGUAAAUAGCACAUUGCAGCACUAGACCAUGGUAUCUGUUGUCUAAGUGUCAUUGACCGAUUAGUGUCAGGCCCACUGACAUCACAUGAUAAAUGAAGAUGACAGAAGUAGACCAAUGGAUGGACUUAACUGCCAAUGCGAAUUGGGUUUUGAAGAACAAGGGAGGUCCUUGUCGUCUGCCUCUGAAUUCUAUCAGCAUCCUCCUGAUGUAAAAGGGCUGGAGGUCUUUCAACAAGGGCUGUUACCCUGCACCUCCCAGCAUCAAUCCAUUCCUUGCUUCGAGCUGAAGCAUUUGGAACCGCCUCCGAGUCGAUGUGGCAGUGCUCCGAAAAAUUGCAGUGUCUAGCGAUUGUUGAGCACGCUCAGUUCCAGAUAGAAAACUAGUUACGUGUUUGACUUUGCUAUUUUGUAGUGUAUAACAACCGGUUAAAGUUCAAGAGCAUGAAUUUGGCAGUAUGACGAGGGUUACACGUACUUGUACUUCUAUCAAGUUAAUGAUAUACUAACAUGGAUGGGUGCAAACUUUCUAGCUGGACAGAACCUUUGUUGUUACAGUGAAGACUAUUUAAUAUAUGAACAUAUGGUAACAUUGUAACAUAAUCUCUCAACUCAACUAAUGUUGCAGAAGCCAACUCACCAAGAACGGCCUCUGAUAAUUUAUAUGGCUCAAUUAGUUAGGUGUGACUACAGUAUAUCAUCAACUGAGUUCCAAUUGUACAGUCUGGCAGACAUUCAAUGGAUUUAUUUCUAAGCAGAUUCGAAGGGUUGCUGUUGCAACUUUUAAGACAUUGGACUGAACAGGCAUGUGGAGCUAAUAGAACUGCUUCUAUAGACUGAACUAGAUAAAUUAAUAGGAGUUCAUCAAACAAAUCUAAAACAGUACAACUCUGUUUAGUUCUAUUUUCAGAGGUGAAGUAACAUUUCAUCUGAAAAUACGCCACCAAUCUAAACAUGACAAGAAGCCAAGAGAAAAAGGCUAAGUACGGGCACUUAGGCCUUUUCCACUGAUGUAAUCGAGACAGCAACGGGACUCGGUAUAUGUAGAAGAGUUUUAUCCAGAAGACAUGGCAGGUUUACCUGAAUCAUACUGUGAGGAACUCCAGCAAAACAGCCAUUGUACUGCUCAAUUCGGUUCAUGAUAGGAGCGUUUCUGGUUCAUCACGCAGCAGGACACCAGCAGAGUUAUAGGGCUAUGACAAACAGCACAACUGGAUGACCAAAGAACAGAUCCAUGUAGCCAGACACCCACGAUGCAGUGCCCUGUAU